RNAcentral lists this ribosomal RNA (253 nucleotides) under uncultured bacterium. Its description in RNAcentral is "partial 16S ribosomal RNA". It matches the Rfam family "Bacterial small subunit ribosomal RNA", at positions 524 to 776 of the family's 1533-position model. The record is from RNAcentral.
UACGGAGGGUGCAAACGUUGCUCGGAAUCAUUGGGCGUAAAGCGUGCGUAGGCGGCGCAGCAAGUCGGAUGUGAAAGCCCUCGGCUCAACCGAGGAAGUGCAUCGGAAACUACUGUGCUGGAGUACUGGAGAGGGUGACGGAAUUCCCGGUGUAGAGGUGAAAUUCGUAGAUAUCGGGAGGAACACCAGCGGCGAAGGCGGUCACCUGGUCAGAUACUGACGCUGAGGCACGAAAGCGUGGGGAGCAAACAGG